RNAcentral lists this ribosomal RNA (496 nucleotides) under uncultured bacterium. RNAcentral's name for it is "partial 16S ribosomal RNA". It matches the Rfam family "Bacterial small subunit ribosomal RNA", at positions 28 to 506 of the family's 1533-position model. The record is from RNAcentral.
GAUGAACGCUGGCGGCGUGCCUAAUACAUGCAAGUCGAGCGAACGGACGAGAAGCUUGCUUCUCUGAUGUUAGCGGCGGACGGGUGAGUAACACGUGGAUAACCUACCUAUCAGACUGGGAUAACUUCGGGAAACCGGAGCUCAUACCGGAUCAUAUUUUGAACCGCAUGGUUCAAAAGUGAAAGACGGUCUUGCUGUCACUUAUAGAUGGAUCCGCGCUGCAUUAGCUGGUUGGUAAGGUAACGGCUUACCAAGGCGACGAUGGAUAGCCGACCUGAGAGGGUGUUGGGCCACAGAGGAGGUGAGAGACGAUACAGGGACCGAGGGGAGGCAGCAGUAGGGAAGGGAGGGAGAUGGGGGAAAGCCUGACGGAGGAACGCAGGGUGAGUGAUGAAGGGCUGCGGAUCGUAAAACGCUGUUAUGAGGGAAGAACAUAUGUGGAAGGAAAGGUGCACAUCUUGACGGUACCGAAUCAGAAAGCCACGGCUAACUACGU